RNAcentral lists this long non-coding RNA (1003 nucleotides) under Homo sapiens (human). RNAcentral's name for it is "HSALNT0384326". The record is from RNAcentral. Lineage: Eukaryota; Metazoa; Chordata; Mammalia; Primates; Hominidae.
AGCAGGUAAUAGGGGCUCCAGUUCCCAACCAUAGGGUCCUCCUCUUGGCCACAGCAGAUGAAGAUCUGGGUGGAUAUCUGGCCUGGCUUGGCUGAUCAGCUUCCCUCCUCUGGAAAUCUGGUGUUAGGGGAUCCUGUGCACUUUAUUCUUCCCUACCAGCCUCAGAAGCCACGUGCUGAAGACAGUGAAGUUCUGUCUGGGAAGAAGCAUCGAUCCCUAAAUGACUGCAUGGAGCAGAGCAGAGAUGUCUGCUCACUAAGUUGGUUCGAAGCUGAGGAGGAAAAAAAUUAGGUGCUAGGAUGCUGGAGAGAUCCUCAGAAACCCCUCUACAUGAAUCAUUUAAGUAGAUGAAGAGCUAGAUUGCAAUAAUCAUUGGGAGGAGAAGAAGAAUAAAACAUGAGAUUCCAUUCACAUCCCAGAAUUAAAGGUACUGUCGUGAUGCCCAUUUUACAGAUGAAGAAACUGAGGUUUCCAGAGGUCCAGUCCCUGCCUGAGCUGAUGCAGUUACGAAGGCUGAAGCCCGGACUUGAUUUGAGUUCGGCCUGCGGAGCCCCGGCUGAGCUACCUGCCUUCUAGCCCCACGGUGGAAAGGGAGAAUCCAGACAUCCUUGAGACCUACCCAAGGAGUUUCCCUGUUACUGCCCUGCCAUCCUUCUGAUGCCACCCUGUUCCGUAUCUGGCUGGAGCCAGCGUGGUUGUGUCUGGGUUUGGCUCCAUAGUAGAUGUUCUCGGUGGCCUUACUAUUCCUGUGCACGCCGGCCACUUUUGCCUGAAGCUCUCUGUGGCUGCCAAUGCCCACUUUGUUGAAAGUACUUGGAAAUUAAGACCCUCUAGGGAGUAUCUCUGAGUUGUGCCUGGUGAGAUUUCAUGAAGGAAUGGCCCAGCUCCUGCAGACCUAGGCGGGAUGUCUGAGGUGCACCUUCUACACGCUCUUUCAGUUGGAUUAAGUCCUAGGAUGCCCACAGGGGUCACUGAGAGGUUAACAAACAUUUUUUUUUUUUUU